RNAcentral lists this ribosomal RNA (253 nucleotides) under uncultured bacterium. RNAcentral's name for it is "partial 16S ribosomal RNA". It matches the Rfam family "Bacterial small subunit ribosomal RNA", at positions 524 to 776 of the family's 1533-position model. The record is from RNAcentral.
UACGGAGGGUGCGAGCGUUGUCCGGAAUCACUGGGCGUAAAGGGCGCGUAGGCGGCAUGCCAAGCGUGUGGUGAAAGCCCGGGGCUCAACCCCGGGUCGGCCGUGCGGACUGGCGUGCUCGAGCACUGUAGGGGCGGGUGGAAUUCCGGGUGUAGCGGUGAAAUGCGUAGAUAUCGGGAGGAACACCUGUGGCGAAAGCGGCGCACUGGACCACAUCUGACGCUGAGGCGCGAAAGCUAGGGGAGCAAACAGG